Molecule: non-coding RNA, 126 nt
Organism: Hordeum vulgare subsp. vulgare (domesticated barley)
Lineage: Eukaryota; Viridiplantae; Streptophyta; Magnoliopsida; Poales; Poaceae
Source: Rfam
UUACUACUCCGUCCGUCUGGAACUACUUGUCGCAGAAAUGGAUGUAUCUAUACGUAUUUUUUGUUCUAGAUACAUCUAUUUCUAUACAUUUCUAUGACAAGUAAUUCGGGACGGAGGGAGUAUUUU